AAGACUAUACUUUCAGGGAUCAUUUAUAUGAUUUGUGGCUACAGAAGUUUCUCAGCGUGAGAAGCCCCAGAAGCCACGAGGAGGAGACGCAGCAUUCUCUGUGGCACGUGAGGCCAGCUCUUGGCAUUACUUCACUACAACUGCAUUUGCCACUGAUGAUCAUUCUUCUCUCAUCUCAGGGAGAGUAGAAGGGAGAGAGGAUGCAGGCUGAGUGAU
This is a small nucleolar RNA of Nomascus leucogenys (northern white-cheeked gibbon), 216 nucleotides long. Its record names the gene U3. It matches the Rfam family "Small nucleolar RNA U3". From Rfam's summary of the family: Small nucleolar RNAs (snoRNAs) are involved in the processing and modification of rRNA in the nucleolus. There are two main classes of snoRNAs: the box C/D class, and the box H/ACA class. Lineage: Eukaryota; Metazoa; Chordata; Mammalia; Primates; Hylobatidae. The record is from Ensembl.